Molecule: ribosomal RNA, 253 nt
Filed under: uncultured bacterium
Lineage: Bacteria
Description: partial 16S ribosomal RNA
Rfam family: Bacterial small subunit ribosomal RNA
Source: RNAcentral
UACGUAGGUGGCGAGCGUUGUCCGGAAUCACUGGGCGUAAAGGGCGCGUAGGCGGUUUUGCCAGUCGCAUGUGAAGGACCAGGGCUUAACCUUGGGGGGUCAUGCGAAACUGUGAGACUUGAGUGCAGUAGAGGAAAGCGGAAUUCCUGGUGUAGCGGUAAAAUGCGUAGAGAUCAGGAGGAACACCGGUGGCGCAGGCGGCUUUCUGGGCUGCAACUGACGCUGAGGCGCGAAAGCGUGGGGAGCAAACAGG